Molecule: RNA transcript, 5732 nt
Organism: Trematomus bernacchii (emerald rockcod)
Lineage: Eukaryota; Metazoa; Chordata; Actinopteri; Perciformes; Nototheniidae
Exons: 8
Source: RefSeq, a predicted model, not a curated record
AAACUGAUUCUGACCCCUUUUAGAUGUUACAUGUUUUAAUCUAGCCUUUUUUAAUAGAUUUGAAUGUGUUAUAGCAUCCUUCUUAUCUUUUUUAAUUAAUCUUAACAUAUUUUGUCACUGUUUAAAACAAGUUCAUUUCAUUCAUUUAAAAAUAAUUAGAAAAAAUUAUGUACCAUUUAAUUACCACAUAAUACUGUCCUGUCUGCGCAUGUGCAUACACAAGCAGACCGCCACUUUUCCCUCCAUUUUCCAUUCGGAAUCGGAAGGACAGGACUGCCUGUGUAUAGCUCCGCUGUCGUGAGGUGAACAUUCUCCACGGCUCUCCGUUUUAACUUCAACUUCCCCGCUGCCCAGCUUGUAUACUGGCCAUGCUGUCUUCCUGACCGACUGUUUUUCUAUCUGAUGUUGGUGUGAUGUAGAACAGAACCUUACUCUUUGGGGACCUCAUGUUGUUUUGUUUAUGUGGCAGUGUAAAGACUGUGGCGCUGAAGUGUCUAAGCGAUCACAAAUUCUCAAACAUUACAGACUAAAACAUAGUCAUUUUGGGCGUGGCCAUCAUAUUAAGUGUAUAUAUCCUGAUUGUCCAUGCAUUUUUAAGGCUUGGAAUACUCUUUUGGUACACUUGUCAAGGAAUCACACCAAUACCUCAAAGCCCUCUGCUGACAUAUUUACUACAUUUUCCUGUCAUCUAUGUGGCUGUAGUGAACUCGGAACAGAACGUGAUUAUUUUGUGCACAUAAGCCAUCAUCUGAGAAACAAUGAGACAGUCACUUGUAUGUUUAAAGGCUGUGCAUACAAAUCCAACAUAUACAGCACCUUCAAGUCACACAAAAGACGGAAGCACAGCUUGCAUUCAUUGGUAGAUUUUAAGGACGGUGUUGUACAAGGAACUUGUGUAGGUGAAACUGGAGAGCCUGGUGUUUCAAACAAUGAGGACAUUUGCGAUGAAAGUCAGUUUGAUGAUGUUGAUUUAGAUACGUCGAAGGAUCAGCCAGAAAUAGAGCAAAAAAUUGCGGCAGUGUUAUUAAAGCUGGAAAAUAUUUUUCAUGUGCCAAGUGCUGCAGUUGAUGAAUUGCUGGAAGAAUUUCAAUAUUUGUUGAGCACAGCAUCUUUGUGUAGUACAAGAAAUGUGAUCCAUGACACACUAAAUAGUUACAAUCUACAAGUUGACCAGUCGGUCAUUGAAGAACUUGCAUCUGCUCUGUGUACAUCUAAUCCUGUGUACAAGGCUAUUGGUAAAGGUUGUCCUUUGGCAACAUCCUUUAAACGCAAGCAAUACUAUAAACACAAUUUUAAAGUUGUGGAACCCAUAGAAUAUAUCUUGGAUGAGAAAGAUAAAAGAACGCUACAGUAUGUUCCACUAUUAAAGUUUUUGCAGCAGCUUUUCACUGAUGGUCACAUUCUUAACAAAGCAUUAGACAGUCAACUCAUAUCAGAGGAUAGAGGAGAAGAAGUGGUAUACAAGUCUUUUCGAGAUGGUUUGUUUUUCAAGGAUAACCAUUUUUUGUCAGGAGGUGAAUUGCGAGUGUUACUGAAUUUGUAUGUCGAUGACUUUGAGAUUUGUAAUCCGCUUGGCACAUCUCGUAAAAAGCACAAGAUCUGUGGCGUUUAUUGGACUCUCAGCAAUUUACCACCAGGUUGCCAUUCUUCGUUAUCUUCUAUUUAUUUGGCCUUACUCUGCAGGUCUGACGAUGUGCGAACAUAUGGCUAUGAAAGGGUCCUAGAGCCCUUGUUGAGGGAUCUUGUCAUUUUGGAAAGUCAAGGUAUUUUUAUUGCACAGCUUGGAGAUUGUGUUAAGGGCACAAUACAGUGUGUCAUAGCUGACAAUUUGGGAGCACAUGGAGUAGCUGGAUUUCUUGAGAGUUUUUCAGGUGGGUACAUUUGCCGUUUUUGUGUGGCACAAAAGUCUGAAAUUCAGGAGAGGGAAGUGAGUUCAGGUGCAUUUACUCUCCGAAGCAAGGAGAUGCAUGAAACGCAUGUCAGAUCAGCACAGGAAAAUCAAAAACAUUGUUAUGGUGUUAAAAGAAGUUGUGUUUUCUCUGCACAUCUUUCUCAUUUCAAUGUCUGUACUGGCUACCCUCCAGAUAUUGCACAUGACAUCUUUGAAGGCAUAUUACCAGUCGAGUUGGCACACUGCCUCAAUUUGUUCAUUUCCAAAAGAUAUUUCACCCUUGAAAAUCUCAAUGAGUCCAUUAAGAAAUUCCCUUACAAGUGGACAGACAAGAGUAACCGUCCUCAUGCUAUUCCCAGGGCAUUCACGGUGAAGAAAACUAUUGGAGGAAAUGCUCACGAAAAUUGGAGUCUUUUGCGAUUGCUUCCAUUUUUGGUUGGACAGUUGGUGCCCCCAGAUGAGCCAGCCUGGCAGGUCGUUUUGGACCUUAAAGAUAUCGUCGAACUAGUUGUUGCACCAGUGCACACGACACAAUCCAUUGCUUUCCUUGAAGCCAAGAUUUGUGACCAUAGACAUAGGUUACAAGAGGUGUUUCCGGGUAUAAAGAUCUUGCCCAAACAUCAUUUUGUGGAACAUUAUCCACAGAUGAUCCGGUCUUUUGGCCCACUAGUUGGGAUGUGGACAAUGAGGUUUGAGGCGAAACACAGUUUUUUUAAGCAGGUAGUCCGCCACACACGCUGCUUUAAAAACAUACUCUUGUCCCUGGCGGUGAAGCAUCAGUUCAUGAUGGCAUAUCAUUUGGAGUCAGCCACAACCGAAAAGUCUAGCCUGACUGUCUCAGCUGUUUCAACGGUCUCUGUUGAUAUUUUGCAUCAGGAUGUACAGAAGGUCCUACAGCUGAGAGACCCUGAUAUUGCUCACAUUCAGCUCACAAAGAAUGCAUCUGUUAAUGGAGUGAACUACAGGGAGGGUAUGGUUAUUGCUCAUGGCUCUGCUGGUGGCUUGCCAGAGUUUGCAGAAGUUAUCCAGAUGGUUGUUGUGGAACAGAGCUUGAGCUUUAUUGUUAAAGAGCUGAGUGCUUGGUAUAGGGAGCAUUUUAGGGCAUUUGAGUUAUGUCCCACGUCACAAGUCUCUCUCAUUCAACUUGGCGCCUUGGUAGACCAGUACCCCUUGGCAGAUUACAGGAUUGGAGGACGGCGAAUGGUGACACUUAAACGAUUCAUACACAUAAAAGAUUGAAGAAUGGCACGACAUCUGAAGUUGAGGGUCAUUGUGGACACGGAUGACUGUAGAAGACUUGAUCUCCAUUCAGGAAUGCCAAAAACUCUGACAGAGUUACACGAUACAAUUUGCCAAGCAUUUGGAAUUGAAAGAGACUUUCGUAUUCAGUUCAUGGAUCCUGACUUCAAUAAUGAUUUCAUGAAUGUUACAUCAGUACAAGACAUACAGGACCGAAGUACGAUCAAGGUGGUGUACAUACUUGAUGAUGUGGGUUCGAGUCCAUCUUCUUCAGUGCAGAAUGCUCCCAGCACUCCUGGAUCAUCUGGAGCACCAGUAAGCAGGCAAACAUCUUCCAGUGUGUCGUCAUUAUCCUCAACAAACUCGGAUAGCACCAUUAUUCUGCCACGUACAGACACUGAACUGAGAACACGUGCAUGGCCACGCAAAUUCCCCAUUCCUCUCUUUCCAUACAAUGUAGAGGUGCAGCUUCGACGUGGAAAUGAGAGCUUCAGAGAAACUGGCACUCGACUGCAGAUCACACCAGGGCUGAAAUCGGACAUCUUGGAGAAGCUAGCCGAGGACAUUUUCCAGUAUACGGCAUAUCCACAAAAUCUCCAAAUAGAGGAGGUAGCAGGGGCACUCGUCCAAAAAUGUCCCUGUUUGAAAGAACCAUCUGCCACUGGUUACUAUGGCUGGAUGAUUAGCCUAAAAUAUAAAAUGGCUAAUUACAGGACAAAGAUGCGAAACCUUGGCUGUCCAGAAGUGACUGUAAAUGCUUUGAAAAACAAAUCAAGUGAUGAAUGCAUCCCAGCCAAAAAUGUAAAGAAACCUAAAAAGGCUGAAGUCAACUAUUGUCCUUCACACCCUGCUGGCGAAACAGAUGAAAGCCUAGAAAAUCUGAGACUUGAACUAUUGAAUGAUGUCAGACAAAGAAGCAAUGCACCGUGUGUAAAACAGAAGAUGUCCAAAACAUUCUCCUACAGAAGAAAAGAGGUGGUGCAGGGAAAUCUAUCUGCUGGAGAGUUCAAAGCCAGGUGGCCUGCACUUUUCCAUAUUGAUGAGAUACAUGCUGAAUUCCAGCGCAUAACAACUAUCCCACUUGAAACGGCCUUCAUGGCGCAGUUGGACAGCCAUCUACCUCAGCUGACAUCUGUCUUCCAGAAGAAGGGAGGAGUUGUUGGCCAGAAACUAGCCAAACAUCUGGCGAUUUUGCAAAAGGUAAAUGCAACAAGUGAUGUUAACCUUAAAAGGGAAGCAAUCCUCAAGGCACUUUGCAUCCACCUUGGUGAGGAUGAUGGACAUCUCAUUCGGGAGUAUAUGGACAUCGGAGGAGAUGACAUCACCAGAGACCUGCAGAAAUCUACCAUGGGCGUAUACGUCAUCAACAAGGAUGGUGGAGAACCUGGACAUUAUGACGACGUUGGGAUUUUUGUUGUAGGACUAAUCAUUCUGGACAACAUUGGAUCUGUAGCCCGAGCUUGUGCCAUCAUGCUGGGAGUCAUCUAUACACUGAACAUGGCUUACCCCAAAGAGCUAAGGUACUACUAUGAAUUCAUUCAGAAAGUGCUCUUGCAAAUGGAUGGUGAAAGGCUUUCCCCCAAAGUCCUUGGACUGAAGAACAAGAUACAUGCUGGACUGUAGGAUUUCUUCAGCCGCUCUUGUGAACCGAUGCCAUUAAAGCAUUACAAAAACACCAGUCAAACCUCAAAGGUUGGGAGAAGAAUGUGGAAAUGUUGAUGGACUUAGAAGACAUGUAUUACAUGUAUUAAUGUGUAGGUUAUAUUCUCCUCAGCUGUGUAAGUCACAUGCUUCAUGUUACGUCAGGAUUUAUUCUCUGUCUGUUUCCACUGCACUUUGUUGCAUUUCGUUUUUAUCGAAACGGCAACUUUUUCUACCUUAGCCAAGCGUAAAACAUUUUAUUUUUUAUAUUGGCAAUUUACAUCUAGUUCUGGAGAAGAAUGGGAAAAUAUUACAUGUAUUAAUGUGUAAGUUAUAUUCUCCUCAGCUGUGUAAGUCACAUGCUUCAUGUUACGUCAGGAUUUAUUCUCUGUCUGUUUCCACUGCACUUUGUUGCUGUCAUGGCCUCCACCUCUGCCUAGUCUGUCUCUCCCCAUGCGUGUGUGUGUGUCCACAAUCCAAUCACCUCUGCUAUAAGACUCCGGCCCUGACUCCUCCACUUCGCCAUAUCGUAGACUCUGUAACCACAGCUUCAAGCCAGCCUGACUCCUAUCCUGUCUCCAGACCACCUCCAACGUUGGACCCUGUCCCGCUCCUCCAGGCUCUUCUCCCUGCACUCUCCAACCUGGUCAGACCUCCGUUCCCUUGGACUCCGUCUAGCUUCCCUGGCUCAGACCCCCCUGCCCAGUAAUAUUCAAUAAACGUUAUUAUUGUGUUUGAAACUCCUGCCUCCUGUCUCUGCUCAGCUCCUGGGUUCCCUGCUAGCCUUAACAGUGGCCAGAUUGUACUGUUAAGGCUAACAGGGAACCCAGGAGCAGAGAGUUUCAAGCAAAAUAAUAACGUUUAUUGAAUAUUACUGGGCAGUAGGCAGGGGGGUCUGGGCCAGGGAAGCUAGACUGAGUCCAAGGGAGAGGGGAACGGAGGUCUGACCAAGUUGGAGAGU